Capsicum annuum is the source of this 858-nucleotide long non-coding RNA. RefSeq lists it as uncharacterized. NCBI's taxonomy places the organism in Eukaryota, Viridiplantae, Streptophyta, Magnoliopsida, Solanales, Solanaceae. The transcript is spliced from 4 exons. The record is from RefSeq and is a predicted model, not a curated record.
GUAGCUAAGGCCCAAUAGUUUUUGAUCUACAAAGGCCCAAUAUAUUGGUAAAGUGUAUACAUCAAUUACUUGACAAAAUAUGGCCCAAAAUUAGUCAAUAAAUUCGUCCAAGAGCAUCUCCUAUUUAUGGAUUGAAAUCAGCAAUUUUUCUCAUUUUAACUUAGACAAAAUUUCCAGCUUUCUAGGGUUUUCUCUCUUGUUCUCUCUUGGCUAUGAAACAUCCCUAUAAUUCCACCAGGGUUCUUGGGAUUGAACUUCCUUCCAAGAUAAAGGGAUUAAUAUAUUGAAGAAAUACACAUUAAGAUACUAAAAUACCAAGGAAAUCAAGAUAAGCAAUCUAAAAGUACGGGAAGUCGAGUUGGGCUGGUAUUGGAGUUUUACAACCAGGGGGACUUAUAUUUCAUACUAUAGGCACAGGUGCUUCAGCAAACACGCCUCCUCAGUAGGAGCCUAGGAUAUCCAUCUGCUAUUGGUGAGCUCUAGUUUGCUUCGGGGAUUUCCGUGUCGGUUUCGUAUAUUUUUGGUAUUGUAUAAAAGUUAAUAGUAUGGCGGGGGUUUGUCCCGACCUUAGCUAAAUUUUGUGUAUCGUCUAGAGGCUUUGUGGACCAAUGUAAAUUUAAGCAUGGUAGUGUGUUAUCUUGUAGAUGUUAUGGCCUCAACGGCCAAGUCUAUUAUGUAUAUAGUUUUAGGGCUUGUCGUUUAUAUUUUUUUUCAUUAAGGAAUUAUAUCCGUAUAUGGAAAAACCUUUGCCUAUUAUAGUUGCAAGCAUGUGAAUUCCAAUGUUAUAGGUUGGUUCUCUCAGGCCUUCAUGGCUACGGGUGCCUGUCCACCCCAAUAGGAUUUGAGGCGUGACAAAAG